AACGUACGCUGGCGGCACGCCUAACACAUGCAAGUCGAACGAAGUAGCAAUACUUAGUGGCAGACGGGUGAGUAACAUGUGGGUAUCUGCCCUUUGGCCUGGAAUAACACGAGGAAACUUGUGCUAAUACCGGAUAAGUCUUUACGGAGAAAGCUUUAUGCACCAUUGGAUGAGCCCGCACUUGAUUAGUUUGUUGGUGGGGUAAUGGCCUACCAAGACUGUGAUCAAUAGCUGAUUUGAGAGGAUGAUCAGCCACAUUGGGACUGAGACACGGCCCAAACUCCUACGGGAGGCAGCAGUGGGGAAUCUUGCACAAUGGAGGAAACUCUGAUGCAGCGAUGCCGCGUGAGUGAAGAAGGCCCUUGGGUUGUAAAGCUCUUUCGUCGGGGAAGAAAAUGACUGUACCCGAAUAAGAAGGUCCGGCUAACUUCGUGCCAGCAGCCGCGGUAAUACGAAGGGACCUAGCGUAGUUCGGAAUUACUGGGCUUAAAGAGUUCGUAGGUGGUUGAAAAAGUUAGUGGUGAAAUCCCAGAGCUUAACUCCGGAACUGCCAUUAAAACUUUUCAGCUAGAGUAUGAUAGAGGAAAGCAGAAUUUCUAGUGUAGAGGUGAAAUUCGUAGAUAUUAGAAAGAAUACCAAUUGCGAAGGCAGCUUUCUGGAUCAUUACUGACACUGAGGAACGAAAGCAUGGGUAGCGAAGAGGAUUAGAUACCCUCGUAGUCCAUGCCGUAAACGAUGUGUGUUAGACGUUGGAAAUUUAUUUUCAGUGUCGCAGCGAAAGCGAUAAACACACCGCCUGGGGAGUACGACCGCAAGGUUAAAACUCAAAUGAAUUGACGGGGACCCGCACAAGUAGUGGAGCAUGUGGUUUAAUUCGAAGAUACGCGCAGAACCUUACCAACACUUGACAUGUUCGUCGCGACUCUAAGAGAUUAGAGUUUUCGGUUCGGCCGGACGAAACACAGGUGCUGCAUGGCUGUCGUCAGCUCGUGUCGUGAGAUGUUGGGUUAAGUCCCGCAACGAGCGCAACCCUCACUUUUAGUUGCCAUCAUUAAGUUGGGCACUCUGAAAGAACGGCCAGUGAUAAGCUGGAGGAAGGUGGGGAUGACGUCAAGUCCUCAUGGCCCUUACGUGUUGGGCUACACACGUGCUACAAUGGUAUCUACAACAGGAAGCAAGACUGCGAGGUCAAGCAAAUCCUUAAAAGAUACCUCAGUUCGGAUUGCACUCUGCAACUCGAGUGCAUGAAGCUGGAAUUACUAGUAAUCGUGGAUCAGCGUGCCACGGUGAAUGCGUUCCCGGGUCU
This 1306-nucleotide ribosomal RNA is filed under the name uncultured bacterium. Its description in RNAcentral is "bacterial SSU rRNA". It matches the Rfam family "Bacterial small subunit ribosomal RNA", at positions 28 to 1381 of the family's 1533-position model. The record is from RNAcentral.